Molecule: long non-coding RNA, 761 nt
Filed under: Capra hircus (goat)
Lineage: Eukaryota; Metazoa; Chordata; Mammalia; Artiodactyla; Bovidae
Description: lncRNA (ENSCHIG00000007465.1)
Source: RNAcentral
GACUGAGCGACUUCACUUUCACUUUUCACUUUCAUGCAUUGGAGAAAAAAUUGGCAACCCACUCCAGUGUUCUUGCCUGGAGAAUCCCAGGGACGAGGGAGCCUGGUGGGCUGCCAUCUAUGGGGUUGCACAGAGUCGGACACGACUGAGUGACUUAGCAGCAGCAGCAGCAGCAGAGAAAUCAUAACCUGAGUAAAGAGCAACCUGAUUUAAUUGUAAAUAGAAGUUCUGAUGUUUCCUUAUGGAAGUACAGCAUGAAUCAGUCAUGAAGCCCAAUUUCAACACAAAUCCACUACAAAAAUGCAGUAAGUAUGAAGGUGAAGUUUUGUCCUUUUCAUAUUUUCAUAGAGUUAAGAUACUUAUUCAAUUCACUGAUAGAUAUAGUAAUGAUAAUAGAUUAAACAGUAAAAAUAUAUGAGGAAACAAUUAUUUGACAAUUUAAAUUUGGAUUAAUAUCUGAAUAUAGGUGAUAUGGUAAUGUAAACAUUAAAGGUAACUAGUAAAACUUGAAAGAAUAAGUAAAAAUUGUGCAGAAAAAAAAAAAGAGAAAAUUAGAAUCAAUGCUUAAAGAACCAUCUCGAUAAACUGUGCUGUUAGCUAACUCUAGAAACUAGUUCAAGAGAUAGGGGAAUUAUAAUUAAGCAGAAGACAGCGAUUAGCUUGGAAUGUUUCCAAGAGUAAUUUUGCUUUAAACACAGGGCUUUAUGUGGUUGUUGUUCACUGCUGCUCAGUCACUAAGUCGUGUCUGACUCUUUGCAACC